RNAcentral lists this transfer RNA (66 nucleotides) under Stenamma impar. RNAcentral's name for it is "tRNA-Leu". It matches the Rfam family "tRNA". From Rfam's summary of the family: Transfer RNA (tRNA) molecules are approximately 80 nucleotides in length. Their secondary structure includes four short double-helical elements and three loops (D, anti-codon, and T loops). Further hydrogen bonds mediate the characteristic L-shaped molecular structure. tRNAs have two regions of fundamental functional importance: the anti-codon, which is responsible for specific mRNA codon recognition, and the 3' end, to which the tRNAs corresponding amino acid is attached (by aminoacyl-tRNA synthetases). tRNAs cope with the degeneracy of the genetic code in two manners: having more than one tRNA (with a specific anti-codon) for a particular amino acid; and 'wobble' base-pairing, i.e. permitting non-standard base-pairing at the 3rd anti-codon position. The record is from RNAcentral. Lineage: Eukaryota; Metazoa; Arthropoda; Insecta; Hymenoptera; Formicidae.
UUUAAUAUGGCAGAACAGUGCAAUAGAUUUAAGCUCUAUAAAUAAAAAUUACAUUUUUUAUUAAAA